UACGUAGGAGGCAAGCGUUGUCCGGAAUUACUGGGCGUAAAGCGCGUGUAGGUGGUGGGACAAGUCUGCUGUGAAAGCGCCUGGCUUAACCGGGCGAGGUCGGCGGAAAACUGUCCGACUCGAGGACGGUAGAGGGGGGGUGGAAUUCCCGGUGUAGUGGUGAAAUGCGUAGAGAUCGGGAGGAACACCUGUGGCGAAAGCGGCUCACUGGACCAUAACUGACGCUGAUGCACGAAAGCUAGGGGAGCAAACAGG
Molecule: ribosomal RNA, 255 nt
Filed under: uncultured bacterium
Lineage: Bacteria
Description: partial 16S ribosomal RNA
Rfam family: Bacterial small subunit ribosomal RNA
Source: RNAcentral